Molecule: ribosomal RNA, 492 nt
Filed under: uncultured bacterium
Lineage: Bacteria
Description: partial 16S ribosomal RNA
Rfam family: Bacterial small subunit ribosomal RNA
Source: RNAcentral
AGUGAACGCUGGCGGUAGGCCUAACACAUGCAAGUCGAACGGCAGCACAGUAAGAGCUUGCUCUUACGGGUGGCGAGUGGCGGACGGGUGAGGAAUACAUCGGAAUCUACUUUUUCGUGGGGGAUAACGUAGGGAAACUUACGCUAAUACCGCAUACGACCUACGGGUGAAAGCAGGGGAUCUUCGGACCUUGCGCGAUUGAAUGAGCCGAUGUCGGAUUAGCUAGUUGGCGGGGUAAAGGCCCACCAAGGUGACGAUCCGUAGCUGGUCUGAGAGGAUGAUCAGCCACACUGGAACUGAGACACGGUCCAGACUCCUACGGGAGGCAGCAGUGGGGAAUAUUGGGCAAUGGGCGCAAGCCUGAUCCAGCCAUACCGCGUGGGUGAAGAAGGCCUUCGGGUUGUAAAGCCCUUUUGUUGGGAAAGAAAAGCAGCAGGUUAAUACCCCGCUGUUCUGACGGUACCCAAAGAAUAAGCACCGGCUAACUUCGUG